This is a non-coding RNA of Xylaria nigripes, 103 nucleotides long. Lineage: Eukaryota; Fungi; Ascomycota; Sordariomycetes; Xylariales; Xylariaceae. The record is from the annotation of a GenBank genome assembly.
GGGCGAAUGGUCUAGGGGUAUGAUAUUCGCUUUGCAUUGUCUGGAGUAAUUCAGAAUCAUCAAUGUCUGCGAAGGGUCCGGGGUUCAAUUCCCCGUUCGUCCA